Molecule: ribosomal RNA, 253 nt
Filed under: uncultured bacterium
Lineage: Bacteria
Description: partial 16S ribosomal RNA
Rfam family: Bacterial small subunit ribosomal RNA
Source: RNAcentral
UACGUAGGGUGCAAGCGUUAUCCGGAAUUAUUGGGCGUAAAGAGCUCGUAGGCGGUUUGUCGCGUCUGCUGUGAAAACCGGAGGCUCAACCUCCGGCCUGCAGUGGGUACGGGCAAACUAGAGUGCGGUAGUGGAGAUUGGAAUUCCUGGUGUAGCGGUGGAAUGCGCAGAUAUCAGGAGGAACACCGAUGGCGAAGGCAGAUCUCUGGGCCGUAACUGACGCUGAGGAGCGAAAGCAUGGGGAGCGAACAGG